GGUCAAUCAGAAAAUGCUGUGACAUUUAAUGCCCUACAGCUCCUCACCUCACUCAUGGGACUGCUUGGGAGGAAACACAUGCCAGUAUCACAAAAUGCUCUGCUCUCUCAGGAUAGUAGUACUCUUUAUACACUGCUAAAGUGGAGAUCUAAAAUGAGAGGCCUAUGCAAGAGGAAUUGUAGAAAACUAGAAAAUAAGUAAAUAAAGCCAUUUCUUUAGUUUGCCUAGACAGACGCGUCUCAGCUGCUCUGCUGACCUGCACAAAAGGCUGACCCAUCAUAAAUGUUUGAGGUCUCUCUGUAAGGACUGUCGGUGCCACUCACAUCGUGGUGAUCUCGACUCAGGACAACCGGUGCCUACAAAAAACCAAGGACAAGGAAGUGGAAUCCUACACAGAUUGUCAACUCUGUCAUUCACAGUCUGUUUUUUUGCAGAUUUCACUCUCUGCCUUAUUGACUUACCAUCUCAUUUCAAAUCUCAUCUAAAAAGAACUCGUUACUCCCCACCCUAAUCCUCUUAAUUUCCUUCUCCCUCUGCCAUCAAUUUUUAUUAUAACUGGUAAAGAAAUGCUGACUUUUUGUGUGUGAAAUCUGGUGGAGAAAAUCACCAUCAUUUCACACCCAGAGAUGAAGAGCCUUUUUUGAGAGCUCUUCAUGAAAAUUGUAUUUUCACACUAAAAAAAAAAUGCAAAAUGUUGCAAGUAAUUGAUCUGAAUUGACUGUUACCUGAAAUUUUAAAGACUUUGUGGAUUGGUUAAUCCUCAUGUGAAAUAGAACAACAAAAAACAGGGCAAAGCCAUAUUUCUUCAUGAAUUUGCAACAUUUUUUGAAAUGUGAAAUUAAGUAUAAUAUCUGAGACUAUGAGAGAUUACACAAAUAUUUUUGAAAAGUUCCACAUUUCAUUUUAUAGUUUAACUCGAACUUUAUCAUUUAGUACAACUGCAUUUGUAACUCUACAGCAUUUAAGGAAACUGUUUGUUUUUAUGAAAGAUGCUGUCCAAAAUGAGAGACCAGUCCUGUGAACCUCACUCACGGAGUAUUCUUUAUUCAUAUAAUACUAUUGACUGCAGUGGUACUGCCUGUGCGAUCAAAGCUUUGUGAGGUCAGGCCCUUAGCUUGUCUUGUAUUGUUUUCAUUGAUUCUUAACCACAAAU
This is a long non-coding RNA of Mauremys reevesii (Reeves's turtle), 1153 nucleotides long. RefSeq lists it as uncharacterized. NCBI's taxonomy places the organism in Eukaryota, Metazoa, Chordata, Testudines, Geoemydidae. The record is from RefSeq and is a predicted model, not a curated record. The transcript has 3 exons.